This 253-nucleotide ribosomal RNA is filed under the name uncultured bacterium. RNAcentral describes it as "partial 16S ribosomal RNA". It matches the Rfam family "Bacterial small subunit ribosomal RNA", at positions 524 to 776 of the family's 1533-position model. The record is from RNAcentral.
UACGUAGGGGGCUAGCGUUGUCCGGAAUCAUUGGGCGUAAAGCGCGCGUAGGCGGCCCGGUAAGUCCGCUGUGAAAGUCAAAGGCUCAACCUUUGAAUGUCAGCGGAUACUGCCGGGCUAGAGUCCGGAAGAGGCGAGUGGAACUCCUGGUGUAGCGGUGGAAUGCGCAGAUAUCAGGAAGAACACCAACGGCGAAGGCAGCUCGCUGGGACGGAACUGACGCUAAGGCGCGAAAGCGAGGGGAGCGAACGGG